RNAcentral lists this long non-coding RNA (345 nucleotides) under Vitis vinifera (wine grape). Its description in RNAcentral is "long non-coding RNA (VVIN_LNC001812)". The record is from RNAcentral. Lineage: Eukaryota; Viridiplantae; Streptophyta; Magnoliopsida; Vitales; Vitaceae.
CCAGAUCUUUCAUUGGGAAUUGAGUAGAAAACCAAAUCUUGACUAAUGACAAUAACCCUACAUCAUUACCAAUUAGUAGAUUGUCAUCUACCUGUAAGAUCCUAAAGCACCACCAUGCUUUCCUGAAAUUUCUUGUACUCACAAGGCCUUUUGCUAUGAAAAUAUAUUGUUACAUCAUAUAGAUGCUAAUAUCAAGGUAAUAAUUUAAGAACAUCGUUUUGAAAUCUUAUUGCAAUAUCUCAUAAAUAAGAUACACCGUAACGGGUAGGAGUACUCUAAUGGAUCUGAAUAUGGCUAUUGGUGAAAAGGUUUCCUAUAUUCGAAACAAUGUUUCGAACUAUAACC